UGAGUUGGACCAAGGGAAGUAUGAUGC
RNAcentral lists this non-coding RNA (27 nucleotides) under Homo sapiens (human). Lineage: Eukaryota; Metazoa; Chordata; Mammalia; Primates; Hominidae. The record is from RNAcentral.